GGGACACGUGGUAUCCUGUCUGAAUAUGGGGGGACCAUCCUCCAAGGCUAAAUACUCCUGACUGACCGAUAGUGAACCAGUACCGUGAGGGAAAGGCGAAAAGAACCCCGGCGAGGGGAGUGAAAAAGAACCUGAAACCGUGUACGUACAAGCAGUGGGAGCACGCUUAGGCGUGUGACUGCGUACCUUUUGUAUAAUGGGUCAGCGACUUAUAUUCUGUAGCAAGGUUAACCGAAUAGGGGAGCCGAAGGGAAACCGAGUCUUAACUGGGCGUUAAGUUGCAGGGUAUAGACCCGAAACCCGGUGAUCUAGCCAUGGGCAGGUUGAAGGUUGGGUAACACUAACUGGAGGACCGAACCGACUAAUGUUGAAAAAUUAGCGGAUGACUUGUGGCUGGGGGUGAAAGGCCAAUCAAACCGGGAGAUAGCUGGUUCUCCCCGAAAGCUAUUUAGGUAGCGCCUCGUGAAUUCAUCUCCGGGGGUAGAGCACUGUUUCGGCAAGGGGGUCAUCCCGACUUACCAACCCGAUGCAAACUGCGAAUACCGGAGAAUGUUAUCACGGGAGACACACGGCGGGUGCUAACGUCCGUCGUGAAGAGGGAAACAACCCAGACCGCCAGCUAAGGUCCCAAAGUCAUGGUUAAGUGGGAAACGAUGUGGGAAGGCCCAGACAGCCAGGAUGUUGGCUUAGAAGCAGCCAUCAUUUAAAGAAAGCGUAAUAGCUCACUGGUCGAGUCGGCCUGCGCGGAAGAUGUAACGGGGCUAAACCAUGCACCGAAGCUGCGGCAGCGACGCUGAUGCGUUGUUGGGUAGGGGAGCGUUCUGUAAGCCUGCGAAGGUGUGCUGUGAGGCAUGCUGGAGGUAUCAGAAGUGCGAAUGCUGACAUAAGUAACGAUAAAGCGGGUGAAAAGCCCGCUCGCCGGAAGACCAAGGGUUCCUGUCCAACGUUAAUCGGGGCAGGGUGAGUCGACCCCUAAGGCGAGGCCGAAAGGCGUAGUCGAUGGGAAACAGGUUAAUAUUCCUGUACUUGGUGUUACUGCGAAGGGGGGACGGAGAAGGCUAUGUUGGCCGGGCGACGGUUGUCCCGGUUUAAGCGUGUAGGCUGGUUUUCCAGGCAAAUCCGGAAAAUCAAGGCUGAGGCGUGAUGACGAGGCACUACGGUGCUGAAGCAACAAAUGCCCUGCUUCCAGGAAAAGCCUCUAAGCAUCAGGUAACAUCAAAUCGUACCCCAAACCGACACAGGUGGUCAGGUAGAGAAUACCAAGGCGCUUGAGAGAACUCGGGUGAAGGAACUAGGCAAAAUGGUGCCGUAACUUCGGGAGAAGGCACGCUGAUAUGUAGGUGAAGUCCCUUGCGGAUGGAGCUGAAAUCAGUCGAAGAUACCAGCUGGCUGCAACUGUUUAUUAAAAACACAGCACUGUGCAAACACGAAAGUGGACGUAUACGGUGUGACGCCUGCCCGGUGCCGGAAGGUUAAUUGAUGGGGUCAGCGCAAGCGAAGCUCUUGAUCGAAGCCCCGGUAAACGGCGGCCGUAACUAUAACGGUCCUAAGGUAGCGAAAUUCCUUGUCGGGUAAGUUCCGACCUGCACGAAUGGCGUAAUGAUGGCCAGGCUGUCUCCACCCGAGACUCAGUGAAAUUGAACUCGCUGUGAAGAUGCAGUGUACCCGCGGCAAGACGGAAAGACCCCGUGAACCUUUACUAUAGCUUGACACUGAACAUUGAGCCUUGAUGUGUAGGAUAGGUGGGAGGCUUGGAAGUGUGGACGCCAGUCUGCAUGGAGCCGACCUUGAAAUACCACCCUUUAAUGUUUGAUGUUCUAACGUUGACCCGUAAUC
Molecule: ribosomal RNA, 1836 nt
Filed under: Escherichia coli
Lineage: Bacteria; Pseudomonadati; Pseudomonadota; Gammaproteobacteria; Enterobacterales; Enterobacteriaceae
Description: partial 23S ribosomal RNA
Rfam family: Bacterial large subunit ribosomal RNA
Source: RNAcentral